AAGUCGUAACAAGGUUUCCGUAGGUGAACCUGCGGAAGGAUUAUUAAUGAGUCUUUGAAGUGGGUUUGAUGCUGGUCUUUCGAGGCAUGUGCUCGCCCUAUUCUCAUCCACUCACACCUGUGCACCUUACGUUUAAGAAGUGGUUGUUGCCUCCCUUCGGGUUGGCAGGUUAGGGAAACCUAGCUAUGGCCCUUCUUUGCGUUACUUUACACAAACUCUUGAAUGUCAUAGAAUGUAUAUUGGCCUACGGGCUUUAAUUUAAAUACAACUUUCAACAACGGAUCUCUUGGCUCUC
RNAcentral lists this unclassified non-coding RNA (295 nucleotides) under air metagenome. RNAcentral's name for it is "partial contains small subunit ribosomal RNA, internal transcribed spacer 1, and 5.8S ribosomal RNA". The stretch from base 1 to 46 matches the Rfam family "Eukaryotic small subunit ribosomal RNA", at positions 1786 to 1831 of the family's 1831-position model. The record is from RNAcentral.